UGAGGGGAAGGGGCAGUGCAGCUGCCGGUGCACUGCGUCCCCUCCCCCGCCGCCGGGGGGACUCCGCGCCGGCCCAUUGCCAAGUUCAAUGCCAAGGUCAUGCGCGCGCGAGUGCGCUUGCGCGCCGCAAUGCAGGAGCGCUCGCCGGCCGCCGUUCGCAGCCGUCAGUGCCUUGCCGACGUUCGAUACACACACACCGACGCGCUUCGACCCUAUACUUCCGCAACAAUACUAAUCUGAUACGGCCCAAUGGUCCUCCAGAUAAAUUCAUAGACGGUGUCAAUGGCGGCCAACUAAACGUGUAACGAUUGGUGCACACCAUGUGAGUUGCUGACGUUAGCGCGUCGGACGCGGUCCAAGAUUAUGCAAUAUUUUCAUAAACACCGCCCCAUCCGGCACUAGCUGAUUGCGGCCGGCAGAGAGCAUAACGAGGACAACACUAACGCCACAAGAACUUCGAUGAUAUGAAACAAUAAUGUUUUAUGGAAGGAAACACAACUACCUCACAAAUACAGUUUAAGUGUUUGACAGAAACGAAUACUCUGCAGUUCAAGAUGAAGACAAGAUCUCU
Long non-coding RNA from Papilio machaon (common yellow swallowtail), 571 nucleotides. RefSeq lists it as uncharacterized. NCBI's taxonomy places the organism in Eukaryota, Metazoa, Arthropoda, Insecta, Lepidoptera, Papilionidae. The transcript is spliced from 3 exons. The record is from RefSeq and is a predicted model, not a curated record.